This 1257-nucleotide ribosomal RNA is filed under the name Lethal yellowing phytoplasma. RNAcentral describes it as "bacterial SSU rRNA". It matches the Rfam family "Bacterial small subunit ribosomal RNA", at positions 150 to 1404 of the family's 1533-position model. The record is from RNAcentral. Lineage: Bacteria; Bacillati; Mycoplasmatota; Mollicutes; Acholeplasmatales; Acholeplasmataceae.
UUGGAAACAGUUGCUAAGGCUGGAUAGGAAAUAAAAAGGCAUCUUUUUAUUUUUAAAAGACCUUUUUCGGAAGGUAUGCUUAAAGAGGGGCUUGCGUCACAUUAGUUAGUUGGUAGGGUAAAGGCCUACCAAGACGAUGAUGUGUAGCUGGACUGAGAGGUUGAACAGCCACAUUGGGACUGAGACACGGCCCAAACUCCUACGGGAGGCAGCAGUAGGGAAUUUUCGGCAAUGGAGGAAACUCUGACCGAGCAACGCCGCGUGAACGACGAAGUACUUCGGUAUGUAAAGUUCUUUUAUUGAAGAAGAAACAAUAGUGGAAAAACUAUCUUGACGUUAUUCAAUGAAUAAGCCCCGGCUAACUAUGUGCCAGCAGCCGCGGUAAUACAUAGGGGGCGAGCGUUAUCCGGAAUUAUUGGGCGUAAAGGGUGCGUAGGCGGUUUAAUAAGUCUCUAGUUUAAUUUCAACGCUUAACGUUGUCCUGCUAGAGAAACUGUUUAACUAGAGUGAGAUAGAGGUAAGCGGAAUUCCAUGUGUAGCGGUAAAAUGUGUAAAUAUAUGGAGGAACACCAGAGGCGUAGGCGGCUUACUGGGUCUUUACUGACGCUGAUGCACGAAAGCGUGGGGAGCAAACAGGAUUAGAUACCCUGGUAGUCCACGCCGUAAACUAUGAGUACUAAGUGUCGGGGUUAAACUCGGUACUGAAGUUAACACAUUAAGUACUCCGCCUGAGUAGUACGUACGCAAGUAUGAAACUUAAAGGAAUUGACGGGAUCCCGCACAAGCGGUGGAUCAUGUUGUUUAAUUCGAAGAUACACGAAAAACCUUACCAGGUCUUGACAUACUCUGCAAAGCUAUAGAAAUAUAGUGGAGGUUAUCAGGGAUACAGGUGGUGCAUGGUUGUCGUCAGCUCGUGUCGUGAGAUGUUAGGUUAAGUUCUAAAACGAGCGCAACCCCUGUCGUUAAUUGCCAGCACGUUAUGGUGGGGACUUUAGCGAGACUGCCAAUGAAAAAUUGGAGGAAGGUGGGGAUUACGUCAAAUCAUCAUGCCCCUUAUGAUCUGGGCUACAAACGUGAUACAAUGGCUAUUACAAAGAGUAGCUGAAACGCGAGUUUUCGGCAAAUCUCAAAAAAAUAGUCUCAGUUCGGAUUGAAGUCUGCAACUCGACUUCAUGAAGUUGGAAUCGCUAGUAAUCGCGAAUCAGCAUGUCGCGGUGAAUACGUUCUCGGGGUUUGUACACACCGCCCGUCAAACCA